RNAcentral lists this ribosomal RNA (253 nucleotides) under uncultured bacterium. RNAcentral's name for it is "partial 16S ribosomal RNA". It matches the Rfam family "Bacterial small subunit ribosomal RNA", at positions 524 to 776 of the family's 1533-position model. The record is from RNAcentral.
GACAGAGGAUGCAAACGUUGCUCGGAAUUACUGGGCGUAAAGCGCGCGUAGGCGGCUUUGUAAGUUAGAGGUGAAAGCCCGGAGCUCAACUCCGGAACUGCCUUUAAAACUGCAUCGCUUGAAUCCAGGAGAGGUGAGUGGAAUUCCGAGUGUAGAGGUGAAAUUCGUAGAUAUUCGGAAGAACACCAGUGGCGAAGGCGGCUCACUGGACUGGUAUUGACGCUGAGGUGCGAAAGCGUGGGGAGCAAACAGG